RNAcentral lists this ribosomal RNA (497 nucleotides) under uncultured bacterium. RNAcentral describes it as "partial 16S ribosomal RNA". It matches the Rfam family "Bacterial small subunit ribosomal RNA", at positions 28 to 507 of the family's 1533-position model. The record is from RNAcentral.
GACGAACGCUGGCGGCGUGCCUAAUACAUGCAAGUUGAGCGCUGAAGGUUGGUACUUGUACCGACUGGAUGAGCAGCGAACGGGUGAGUAACGCGUGGGGAAUCUGCCUUUGAGCGGGGGACAACAUUUGGAAACGAAUGCUAAUACCGCAUAAAAACUUUAAACACAAGUUUUAAGUUUGAAAGAUGCAAUUGCAUCACUCAAAGAUGAUCCCGCGUUGUAUUAGCUAGUUGGUGAGGUAAAGGCUCACCAAGGCGAUGAUACAUAGCCGACCUGAGAGGGUGAGCGGCCACAGUGGGACUGAGACACGGCCCAAACUCCUACGGGAGGCAGCAGUAGGGAAUCUUCGGCAAUGGACGAAAGUCUGACCGAGCAACGCCGCGGGAGUGAAGAAGGUUUUCGGAUCGUAAAACUCGGUUGGUAGAGAAGAACGUUGGUGAGAGUGGAAAGCUCAUCAAGUGACGGUAACUACCCAGAAAGGGACGGCUAACUACGUG